RNAcentral lists this transfer RNA (86 nucleotides) under Termitidicoccus mucosus. Its description in RNAcentral is "Opitutaceae bacterium TSB47 tRNA-Leu". It matches the Rfam family "tRNA". Rfam says of the family: Transfer RNA (tRNA) molecules are approximately 80 nucleotides in length. Lineage: Bacteria; Pseudomonadati; Verrucomicrobiota; Opitutia; Opitutales; Opitutaceae. The record is from RNAcentral.
GCCCGGGUGGCGGAAUGGUAGACGCUGAGGACUUAAAAUCCUUUGCCUGAAAAGGCGUGCGGGUUCGAUCCCCGCCCCGGGCACCA